This 287-nucleotide ribosomal RNA is filed under the name uncultured bacterium. RNAcentral describes it as "partial 16S ribosomal RNA". It matches the Rfam family "Bacterial small subunit ribosomal RNA", at positions 334 to 614 of the family's 1533-position model. The record is from RNAcentral.
GAGCCUACGGGACGCAGCAGUGGGGAAUAUUGCGCAAUGGGCGAAAGCCUGACGCAGCGACGCCGCGUGAGGGAUGAAGGUCUUCGGAUCGUAGACCUCUGUCAGCAGGGAGGAACGGUCACUGUGCUAAUCAGCAGAGAAUUGACGGUACCUGCAAAGGAAGCACCGGCUAACUCCGUGCCAGCAGCCGCGGUAAUACGGAGGGUGCGCGCGUUAAUCGGAAUUACUGGGCGUAAGGCGCUCGUAGGCGGUAUGUCCAGUCAAGGGUGAAAUCCCGGCGAUCAACG